Molecule: non-coding RNA, 337 nt
Organism: Heterocephalus glaber (naked mole-rat)
Lineage: Eukaryota; Metazoa; Chordata; Mammalia; Rodentia; Bathyergidae
Source: RefSeq, a predicted model, not a curated record
UAUAAUUUAAAAGAUAUAAAACAAAAAAAUUGGGGAGGACAAUAAAAAGCAGGGAAAAAAAUCAAACAAUCUAAUCAAUAAAAAUACACAUAAGGCUGAGUUUCCUUAACACAAUAAAUUCUCUUACAGAAAAGUAUUCCAGAAACCAAGGUAAUAAUGCAGAAGCUUCUCAGCGAAAGCUUUACUGUGACUGGAAGAAGGAUGUGGUCCAGGAGAAUAAACUAUGACAUUUGCCAUGAAGAUCUAUAACAAAAGUCUGAUUUAUUAACAUCAGCAGACUAGAACUUAGGCCACUGUGAGCCAUCAACGACAUGAGGACAAGAACAAAAUAGCACAG